GACGAACGCUGGCGGCGUGCUUAACACAUGCAAGUCGAACGGAAAGGCCCUGCUUUUGUGGGUUGCUCGAUUAGCGAACGGGUGAGUAACACGUGAGUAACCUGCCCCUGACUUUGUGAUAACUUUAGGAAACUGGGGCUAAUACCGGAUAUGAGCUCCUGCUGCAUGGUGGGGGUUGGAAAGUUUCGGCGGUUGGGGAUGGUCUCGCUGCUUAUCAGCUUGUUGGUGGGGUAGUGGUUUACCAAGGCUUUGACGGGUAGCCGGCCUGAGAGGGUGACCGGCCACAUUGGGACUGAGAUACGGACCAGAAUCCUACGGGCGGCAGCAGUGGGGAAUAUGGCACAAUGGGCGGAAGCCUGAUGCAGAAACGCCGCGUGCGGGAUGACGGCUUUCGGGUUGUAAACCGCUUUCGCCUGUGACGAAGCGUGAGUGACGGUAAUGGGUAAAGAAGCACCGGCUAACUACGUG
Molecule: ribosomal RNA, 468 nt
Filed under: uncultured bacterium
Lineage: Bacteria
Description: partial 16S ribosomal RNA
Rfam family: Bacterial small subunit ribosomal RNA
Source: RNAcentral